Molecule: ribosomal RNA, 468 nt
Filed under: uncultured bacterium
Lineage: Bacteria
Description: partial 16S ribosomal RNA
Rfam family: Bacterial small subunit ribosomal RNA
Source: RNAcentral
GACGAACGCUGGCGGCGUGCUUAACACAUGCAAGUCGAACGGAAAGGCCCUGCUUUUGUGGGGUGCUCGAUUGGCGAACGGGUGAGUAACACGUGAGUAACCUGCCCUUGACUUUGGGAUAACUUCAGGAAACUGGGGCUAAUACCGGAUAUGAUCUCCUGCUGCAUGGUGGGGGUUGGAAAGUUUCGGCGGUUGGGGAUGGGCUCGCGGCUUAUCAGCUUGUUGGUGGGGUAGUUGCUUACCAAGGCUUUGACGGGUAGCCGGCCUGAGAGGGUGACCGGCCACAUGGGGACUGAGAUACGGCCCAGACUCCUACGGGAGGCAGCAGUGGGGAAUAUUGCACAAUGGGCGGAAGCCUGAUGCAGCGACGCCGCGUGCGGGAUGACGGCCUUCGGGUUGUAAACCGCUUUCGCCUGUGACGAAGCGUGAGUGACGGUAAUGGGUAAAGAAGCACCGGCUAACUACGUG